Molecule: ribosomal RNA, 305 nt
Filed under: uncultured bacterium
Lineage: Bacteria
Description: bacterial SSU rRNA
Rfam family: Bacterial small subunit ribosomal RNA
Source: RNAcentral
AGACCCCUACGGGAGGCAGCAGUGGGGAAUAUUGCACAAUGGGGGGAACCCUGAUGCAGCGACGCCGCGUGAGUGAAGAAGUAUUUCGGUAUGUAAAGCUCUAUCAGCAGGGAAGAAAUAAAGUCCUUCGGACUUUGGACGGUACCUGACUAAGAAGCCCCGGCUAACUACGUGCCAGCAGCCGCGGUAAUACGUAGGGGGCAAGCGUUAUCCGGAUUUACUGGGUGUAAAGGGAGCGCAGGCGGCGCGGUAAGUCUGAUGUGAAAGCCCGGGGCUCAACCCCGGGACUGCAUUGGAAACUGUCG